CUCGGUAAAUAACUAUUUAUUGAUUAAAUUUGGCUGUGUGGGUAGCUAAAUAGUCAUAAAUAUUAAAAGUUCUAUACAACAGUUAUUAGUUUAAUAUGAAUGCCAUUUAUAAUACCUACUAAACUUGUGUGCUAGUUUAAACUCCUGACUUUAUUCAUUAGAAUUCUAACUUAGAACUCACUCCAAAUCUGGCCAACCGGAUUAUUCGCGUGAAUAGCAACUCUACAAAAAUUAUAAAUUCAAAUUAAUCUGUUUAACCAAAACCAUAAUGCACUGGCAAGACACUCAGGUCCAACACUGCGUAUGAGCAAUUUCUCGUUUACCGCCUACUUCUAAAGAUAUUCAGUUACCUUAUAUAUGUAUGUAUAUGUAAGUAGAUUUUACCACAACAAUACCAACAACAAUGGCCUAUUAUCUAAAGCUCACAGCAAAUUAUGUAUGCGAGUAUUCAACGUGGCUGGAUAUUGCGCGCGUGUGUGUGUAUGUGCUUCGCCACUGAAUUUGAUAUUGCCUUUUUUUCUUUUUGUCCUGCAACGAAUACUUGGCAAUUAUGCGCACAAUAUUUCGCUAAAUUUACCAUUAUAAAUAUGGCGUAGGUGGAGCUGAGGAGGCUUAGAAAAUCUGAGUGUCGGUUUCCUGGUUUCUGGUGAAACAAAAAGCACACGAAGUAGAGAGGUGCUUAAUGUGCAAAACAUUAAAGAAAUCUGAAUGGUGGAUUAUAUUGUAAAAUACUUGGUGUUUGAUUUCUAGAACUGUUGACGUUUUAUUUAUUUAUAAAUAUAUAUAUAUAUAUUUGGCGCGUUUAAACCUACGUUCUCUCUGUGAAUUCCGAAUGGUAGUCACACACCAACGCGUUUGGUUACGGCUACUUACUUAUUUAAG
Long non-coding RNA from Anastrepha obliqua, 882 nucleotides. RefSeq lists it as uncharacterized. The record is from RefSeq and is a predicted model, not a curated record. The transcript is spliced from 3 exons. NCBI's taxonomy places the organism in Eukaryota, Metazoa, Arthropoda, Insecta, Diptera, Tephritidae.